UUGAUUAAAUAAAAGUAAAUAAAUAGCCCAAAAUAAUAACCCAAAUAACAUACGUCUGAACAUAUUUCAAAGAGAGAGAAGAGUACAGUUGUAUAAAUUGGUGAAUUGAGAAAAUGAAAAUUACGUAAAUAAUAAUAUGAGCCCUAAAUUUCUUUAAUAUCUACUAUCAAUGCCGCUCUUCUUUACCGUAACUGCGCCGCUUCUACUUCUUAUUUCUCACUCUUUCUUCUUCUUUUUUUUUUUUGAAAAGACUUUUUCUUCUUCUUCUUCUUGACUUCCUAUCUUCUUUUUUUUCUCACCACUCUUUACUUGUAGUUCUCUUCGAUCUUAUCUUUGAUUACAUUAUUUGAAAUCGCAUUGAGAGCUAAUAUUUGCUAUCUACGAGCAGGUCAGUGGAUCUCAACGGAAAUAUUUGAUGCUUCUUGGGGGUUCUUUGGUGACUAUUAGGCUAAUUGAUGAAUCGUUGAGUAAAUGAAUAUCUAUUUCGAUACUUUCGAUUAUUUAUGGUUCAAAGCCUCGAUAUUGUUCUCCCUUUUAUGCAUCAAUUUCUCUGAUUUUCUAAGUCUGUUGGUUUUAUGCAGAUUUCUUCUUCUUCUUCUUCUUGUUCUCUUGCUUCGCAGUCUCUUUUUGAAUGAGAAUCACGAUUAAGAAGAAAAUAAAAGGCUGUUUCAAGAUUUUGAAUUAAGAAAUUUCGUGUAUAAGACAUUCGUUUGUUGCUUGAAAUUUGGGGAGAAACUGAAUUGUUGAAAUCCACGUUUUUUCAAAUUUACCUACGAUCUUGGAAAAAUAACUGUUAAAAUUUGCCGGGAAAAAAUGUCCGUUGAACUGGUCUUUUAUAUUAUAUAUAGAUUGUGUAAAUUUAGAUUAUUCGACUAGCCAUGUCAGUAAUAAAUUUAGUCGGAGUGUCAAUUGAUAGCAAAAUUAGAUUAGAUCAAUAGUUCGAUAAUUACUAUGUUACUUUUUAAAAAUUUAUAUGCAAAAUCAGAAUUUGAUUAAAGUUCAGUUCAUUAAUAUCAUGCUACCUUUUAAAUUUUAUACUAUGCGUUUUAAAGUUUAUAUACAAGAUUAUAAUUUAAUAGAAGAUUAGUAAUUAUCACGUUCAUACUAUAUUUUAAAAUUUAUAUACAAAAUCAAAAUUUGAUAAAAGUUCAGUAUUUCACGUGCAAUUAGCCGAGGUAUACUAUGAUAGAUUGAGGAAUAAUACAUUACAUAACACUAAAUAAUGCCAAAAAUAGAUUGUAGGCGAUGAUGCAUAUAGUAUGAUAUAUCGAUCUAUCUACAUGUGUUUCUAUGUCGUUUACGCAUCACAAUCUUCUGCUGUGCCUGAAAACAAAAACUACCCGAUUUGAUGAACUUAUUAUAACAACAGAGCUAAAAUCUUCUAUUUACCUAUCAUUCAAUAAUGGAUUAAUCAUAGUAAUAUAUCAUAGAAAUUGUUAUUAUUAAAUUAUUACAAUAAGAAAAGUUAUUUCAUAUAUAGCCUAUUUUAUAGUAGUACUUGACCCGUUCGAUAUAGUUAUGUAUUGCAUAAUGAUUUAAUUAAAGAAAUGCUUUCUUUUCAAGAUGGAUGAAUCAAAUUUAAGAAAUGCUUUCUUAAACAACGAAAAACUUAGUUGAAUUUUUGCAAUUUCAUUCUCCAACUCCUUCGACACAAACAAUGAAUGCAUGUAACAUAUAUGCUAAGAUAAUUUUGGAGCAGCAGAAUUUCGGAUUAUUUUUUGUUGCCAAUUUCAUCUUCGUGUUCUAACACAACGAAUGCGUGUUGUGUGUGUAUAUCAAUUAAGAUGCUUUGUGAAUGUGUAAAUAAGGAUUUAAGAUGCUCUGAAUAAUAAAAAAAUGAUUUAAGAUAGAAGUAAUUAAGCACCUGCAGUCUCUGAUCUUAGCUUGAACCUUUGACGUCUGCUGCCGUUCAAGAGCACGGCUGAAUCCACUCACUUGCUGGCUUCUCGCGGGGAAAUCCGAUCUAGAUCCACUGUUUUUACCUCUGAUUCCACUCUCUCUCUCCUUAAUUUCCUCCAGAUUCAGGCGCUGCUCGUCGCGAUCAGGUGGUGAGAGAGAAGAGAGGAUCAGUGCAAUAUUGAUCGCGGCGAGAAUACUUUCGCUGUUCGUCUCCAAAU
RNAcentral lists this long non-coding RNA (2117 nucleotides) under Salvia miltiorrhiza (redroot sage). Its description in RNAcentral is "long non-coding RNA (SMIL_LNC004597)". The record is from RNAcentral. Lineage: Eukaryota; Viridiplantae; Streptophyta; Magnoliopsida; Lamiales; Lamiaceae.